This 420-nucleotide ribosomal RNA is filed under the name bacterium. Its description in RNAcentral is "partial 16S ribosomal RNA". It matches the Rfam family "Bacterial small subunit ribosomal RNA", at positions 355 to 776 of the family's 1533-position model. The record is from RNAcentral.
UGGGGGAUAUUGCACAAUGGGCGAAAGCCUGAUGCAGCGACGCCGCGUGGGGGAUGAAGGCUUUCGGGUUGUGUACCUCUUUCGCUAUCGAACAAGGCCCGCUUAGGGUGUGAUGAGGGUAGGUGGAGAAGAAGCGCCGGCUAACUACGCGCCAGCAGCCGCGGUAAUACGUAGAGCGCGAGCGUUGUCCGGAAUUAUUGGGCGUAAAGGGCUUGUAGGCGGCUUGUUGCGCCUGCUGUGAAAACGCGGGGCUUAACUUCGCGCGUGCAGUGGGUACGGGCAGGCUUGAGUGUGGUAGGGGUGACUGGAAUUCCAGGUGUAGCGGUGGAAUGCGCAGAUAUCUGGAGGAACACCGAUGGCGAAGGCAGGUCACUGGACCAUUACUGACGCUGAGGAGCGAAAGCAUGGGUAGCGAACAGG